RNAcentral lists this ribosomal RNA (467 nucleotides) under uncultured bacterium. Its description in RNAcentral is "partial 16S ribosomal RNA". It matches the Rfam family "Bacterial small subunit ribosomal RNA", at positions 29 to 507 of the family's 1533-position model. The record is from RNAcentral.
AGUGAACGCUGGCGGUAGGCCUAACACAUGCAAGUCGAACGGCAGCACAGUAAGAGCUUGCUCGUACGGGUGGCGAGUGGCGGACGGGUGAGGAAUACAUCGGAAUCUACUUUUUCGUGGGGGGUAACGUAGGGAAACUUACGCUAAUACCGCAUACGACCUACGGGUGAAAGCAGGGGAUUUUCGGACCUUGCGCGAUUGUAUGAGCCGAUGUCGGAUUAGCUAGUUGGCAGGGUAAAGGGCUACCAAGGCGACGAUCCAUAGCUGGGCUGAGAGAAUGAUCAGACACACUGGGACGGAGACACGGCCCAGACUCUUAGGGGAGGCAGCAGUGGGGAAUAUUGGACAAUGGGCGAGAGCAUGAUCCAGCAAUGCUGCGUGAGUGAUGAUGGCCUUAGGGUUGUAAAGCUCUUUUACCCGGGAUGAUAAUGACAGUACCGGGAGAAUAAGCUCUGGCUAACUCCGUG